UACGAGUGGUACAAGCGUUAUCCGGAAUCAUUGGGCGUAAAGGGUGCGUAGGUGGUCUUGAUUAGUCUUUCGUUAAAACUCCCGGCUUAACCGGGAAGGUGCGAGAGAAACGGCAAGACUUAGAGGAUGUGAGAGGUAUGCGGAACUCAUGGUGUAGGGGUGAAAUCCGUUGAUAUCAUGGGGAACACCAAAUGCGAAGGCAGCAUACUGGCACAUACCUGACGCUGAGGCACGAAAGCGUGGGUAGCGA
Molecule: ribosomal RNA, 250 nt
Filed under: uncultured bacterium
Lineage: Bacteria
Description: partial 16S ribosomal RNA
Rfam family: Bacterial small subunit ribosomal RNA
Source: RNAcentral